GAUGAAGAACGUAGCGAAAUGCGAUACGUAAUGUGAAUUGCAGAAUUCAGUGAAUCAUCGAAUCUUUGAACGCAUAUUGCGCUCUCUGGUAUUCCGGAGAGCAUGCUUGUUUGAGUAUCAGUAAACACCUCAACUUCCAUAUCUUUUUUGAAAUGGGAGUUGGACUUGAGUGAUCCCAACGCUUUUCCUCACCGAAAAGUGGCGGGUUACUUGAAAUGCAGGUGCAGCUGGACUUUUCUCUGAGCUAUAAGCAUAUCUAUUUAGUCUGCCUAAAAAACAUAUUAUUACCUUUGCUGCAGCUAACAUAAAGGAGAUUAGUUCUUGUGCUGACUGAUGCAGGAUUCACAAAGACGGCUUCGGCCGACUUUGUAAACUCGAUCUCAAAUCAAGUAAGACUACCCGCUGAACUUAAGCAUAUCAAUAAGCGGAGGA
Molecule: unclassified non-coding RNA, 432 nt
Filed under: soil metagenome
Description: partial contains 5.8S ribosomal RNA, internal transcribed spacer 2, and large subunit ribosomal RNA
Rfam family: 5.8S ribosomal RNA (bases 1-120)
Source: RNAcentral